This 470-nucleotide long non-coding RNA is filed under the name Ananas comosus (pineapple). Its description in RNAcentral is "long non-coding RNA (ACOM_LNC022642)". Lineage: Eukaryota; Viridiplantae; Streptophyta; Magnoliopsida; Poales; Bromeliaceae. The record is from RNAcentral.
UUAAUGAUCAUGGUUAAUUAGUCCAAUGGUUGGAAUAAUAAUCCAAAUUUAUUUAAAAUAUAGUUAGAGAUAAGUUUAAGUCUUUUAUUUGAUUAUGAUUACAAUUUGUAGUUAUCCAAAGUAAAAUUUGGAUCUAUUAUCUGUUAUGAUUUGAUAGCUAUAUAUAGUUAGAUAUCGGAACAAGCCAUAAUAAUCAUAACUGUAUAGGUUUCGUCUUGCUUUUUAUUAGUAAAGUAUUAGUUUAGUUUUCUUCUUCCACCCAAUAUCUCUUCUUCGUAUUAUUUUUAUUUUAGAUUUUGCGUUAUAUAAUCGGAAUCAACACAAACACUGGUUCCAACAAUUGGUAUCAGAAAAAAUUAUGAUUCCGACAAUUGUGUUAUAUAAUCGGUAUCAGCACAAAUACUGAUUCCAACAAUUGGUAUCAGAGAAAAUUAUAAUUCUGACAAUUAGUAUGAGGGCAAAUCAUACUU